AUCUCCUUUCUACAAAGAAGGAAACCGAUGCUUAGAGAUAUGAACUCAUGUGCCCAACGUCAGAAAAAAACCUGGAUGAACUAAUGAACUAAUAUCCAAGAAGGGACAAGUCCUGAAUAAAAGGUUGGUCCAAAGAGGUUACUUCAAUGUUCUUGCUGAUGUCUAGUUACUCCAUGUCCCCCCUAAAUGCCUCUGUGUCACCAGUGGUAAAGAAGGAAUACAGUACACCUUGGGAAAAGGAUCCUGUCAUCUUUGUAAAUUAUGGAAAGUAGGAUGUUUCAGUUAUUGGAAUUGAAGAGUAGCAGAAUCUAUGGAAAGAGAAACAUCUUUGAUGACAACCAUAACUGUAUUCAAAUCAAGUCAAUACCUUACUAAAUGUGUCAACCUGGCUUCCUACAAAAUGAUGGAGCUUGUUGUCAAGAGGAGGAUCAUAGAAGAGGAUAUGGAAGUAAACAUGCAAACAAAUAGUUCUGCACUUUGUGCCGUGCCUGGUGACAGGAAGAAAUGAUGAGCAUUAAGAGUUUCUCCACUGUACGCAGUUUCCUCUGGGUGAUUCACAGCACCGUAAGCAAACUCACACCAGUCUUGAAGAAAUAUCUGAGAAUCUCCACUCAGGAAUACAGUCUUGCCGCCUUCUUGAUUUUGACCCUGUGAGACCUGGAGCUAAGAAAUAAAUCCAGCCCUGGACUUCUGACCUACAGAACUGUGAGAUGAUAAAUUUAUGCAGUGUGAAGCCCUAAAGCUUAUGUAGAAAAAUGUAAACUAUCCAUGCCAGUAUGCUUAAGGAAAGAGUAGAAUGCUAACACAUACUCCCUCUCUCUCUCCCCCCACAAAAAAACAAACAAAAAAAAGCAGUACACAGAGCUAUACACAGACGUUUCUGUAACUAGAUAAAAUGUAGAAAAACAAAUAUGAAAAGAAAAAAAUGUGUUAAGUUCUAGAAUCGGAGGUCUUUUAAAUGAUUAUUUGCAAUUAUUAGUUUAUUACUGUUGCACUGUGCCUUCAUUAUAUGUGUAAAUAGCAGUACAAUAUAGAUAUAAUAAAAAUAUUAAAAGAAAGGUUUUUCCUGAAGCAGUCCUUUUGAUGAGUGUUUGUCUUCCCAAGGUUAGACGCCCUCCUGUGGAGGAAUGUGAGGCUGCCUCACACAAGUCUGGGUAAACUUGUUUGUACCCCACCUCCUACAUUGUCCCACUGUCCACAGCUGCUAUCAUGUGAUUCCUGACACAGAUUUAAUCCCUGUUCCAAUUUUAUGACCACUUCUUCACUCUGUCCAUGAAACAGAUAAUUCAGAACUAGUGUGGCUUGAAGAAUAGUCAUUUUUAUGAUCUUGUGCCUCAACUUCAGUGAUUAGACUCAUGAUGUUUGUUCCUGGAAAAUUACUACCCUUCCAGAAGGCAGUUCAAAAAACAAGAACUGUAGAAACUGGAACAACAUAGUGGCUGAUAUGGAGCCCUUCUCUUGGGACAUAAUACUUAUAGGAUGGAAUAUUCCCCUGCAUGGCACACUGCACCCUAUAUAGCUGUGGAGCUAUGGAGUUUAAAUGGGUUUAGUGCUUUGAUUACAAGAGGGCCCUCAGAAAAGUGGUACCCGAGGAUGCCUAGCAACCGAACAAUAUACCUACCAUCUUAAAGAGGAGAUUGUUCAUGAACUAACGUGAGAAAUCCACUGAGAACUCCUAGGAAAGCUGGAAUUCUGAAGAAGCUGAGAUCCUUCAUGGGUAGGUGGAAAAGAACCAGUGGAAUGUGUUGUUGUUAAUAUUAUACUUUUGUUUCUUUUAUUUUGUUAUUUUAAGUAUUUUAACCAGAGUCCCUUUUCAUACAGCUAUAGCUGUUGAGCACAAAGAGAUGUAUAUGCACCUUUCUUAUUUGCCUUUAUUUAUCUUCCAGCCAGUGAUAGAAGAAAGGCCACUUAAAACUAAUAUCACAUCUCCAUUAAUGAAGGAAU
Non-coding RNA from Manis javanica (Malayan pangolin), 1944 nucleotides. Lineage: Eukaryota; Metazoa; Chordata; Mammalia; Pholidota; Manidae. The record is from RefSeq and is a predicted model, not a curated record.